Long non-coding RNA from Gorilla gorilla gorilla (western lowland gorilla), 1802 nucleotides. RefSeq lists it as uncharacterized. The record is from RefSeq and is a predicted model, not a curated record. NCBI's taxonomy places the organism in Eukaryota, Metazoa, Chordata, Mammalia, Primates, Hominidae. The transcript has 5 exons.
CUUACCUUGAUUGUGGACUAUACCUAGUGACCUGCUCUUAGUGAACAGAAUGUGGCAAAAAGUGACAGUAUGUUACUUUUGAGACUAAGUUAUAAAAAGCCUUUGUCUUCUUCUCUUGUGCCCUCCCUUGCUCGCUCUGGUGGAAGCCAGCUGAAAUUUUGAGAGCCACCUUAUAGAAAGCCUAACAGCAAAGACUGGAGAGAGGCUUCCAGCCAACAGCCAGCAAGGAAUUGAAGCCCUCAGUCCAAUAGCAGUGAGGAAUUGAAUCCUGCCAACAGCCUCGUGGAUGGGUUGCUUGCUGCCUGACUCUAACUCCUGCUACUACUGCAAACACCACUGCCAUGAAUAUCCUCAGCAAGACCCCCUUCCAGACCUGCAUGAACAGUUGUGUGAAAUGUAUAUGCACAAAGGGACUGCAAGGGAAGACCCAGAGACUAGGGAAGAACUUGGAACAAUAAUCUCAGUUUCUUCAAUUCCUAAACUGAGAGUAUUGCUGUUUUUAAAUGAAGACCAACUGCUUCAUGCUGGGCUUCAGACAUGAGAGGCUAGGAGUAGGAGGCAUGCCUUGUUCAAAGAUAUCCAGUUCUCCCAGGACCAUUUGUUGAAAAGGCAGGCACCUCAUUUUAAUGAAGAGGAAACUGAGGCCCAGAAGGAGAAGUGGCAUGCCCAAGGCUGUGCCAGAAGCAAAGUGUAAAAUAGAUCCUGAGCCUCCGACUCCUGUAACUCCUCCAGGGGACAGCAGCAUCUCUUCUGACUCUUUGCUUCCAUGUCUUGAGGAAGCAGCUUCCUGCCUAUGGCCAUCUGAGGAAGCCAUCUUGGAAGCAGACCCCCCAGCCCCAGUCAAGCCUUCAGAUGACUGCAGUCUCAGCUGACAUCUUGACUUUAAUUAAAAAAACAAAACAAAACAAAACUCCAAGCCAGAACUACCCAACUGGAAUUUGAGAGCUGCUUUCAAAUCCUGACCCGUAGAAACUUAGAUAAUAAAUGUUUGUUGUUUAAAGCCACUCAUUUUUAGAUAAAUUUGUUAUGCAGCAAUAGCUAGCUAGUACAGAGAAUUAACCAGCCUCUCUUAAAUUACCACCACAAAAUCAACUACCUAUUUUAUUAAAAGGUAAAACCAGCUGCUGAAGAACAUUUUUCCUCUCAAGGCUUUGGCACUUAAGAUUCAACAGUAAGAAGGAUUGAAGAGUAAAGGCUUCCUGGCUACCCUCUGGCAUCCUGUGUUUGGUCUGAAGCCUCAUAAGCCUGGGUUAUUCUUCCAGUCCACCUUGUAAGAGACUGAUGUGGAAAAAUGUGUCUCUUCUCAAGGGCUAACUCUGAAACUUUGGGAAAAUAUUCUAGAUUUGGAUCAUACUAAAAUGGGUAUUAGACCUAGGUUCUAGUUCCAGCUCUAAGAUCUGGAUGUGUCAAAAUCCUUUUCCCUUUGUAGGUUUUAAGUUUGGCCUCUUUAAAUAAAGAAACAAUCACCCAUGCUUUGUCUUUUAACUUGCUACUUAAAACAAGGAGCUGAAGACACUGGCCAUCAUCAAAAAACUAAUGGACAAUUCCCACUGCCUCGCUGAAAUUUGCAGUCUGACUCUCACCAUCUCUUGCCUUUUUUUUUUUUUUUUCCUUUGGCUGUGUUUGUGAAACUGCCUUUGCAAAGAUUAUGAGAGGGAGUCUACCAUGGCCAACUCCAUCUUGCUUGUAGCCUCAUGGGCUGGCUUCCCUUGCUCAUUCCUAGCCAUAGGCCAAGCUAACCAUGGGAGGAAUUUAGUUUAUAGUUUAACUUUGAAGGAAGGAUGAUAAUAUUUUAUCCCUAA